GUCCGUCCUCCUGUGUGCGGCGCCGCCGCUGCGCACAUCUCAGGCGAGUGCUUCCAACCCAUCUCCUCGCCCUCCUCCACAUCUCCGGCCAAGGCGCUCACUUCUCCGGCCCUCCUCCACAUCUCAUGGCCUCCACCCAUCCGCUUCCUGUCCUUUGGUUCUCCAAGACUGCAGUAUGGUGCUCGGCGGCUGUGACAGCGGAGCUGAUGGUGCGCCAGCCGACCAGUUGAACGGAGGCAGUAGCAAGGGGCAGCGGCAACAGCCUAGAGGGCGGAGGUUGAUUGGCAAGGUAAUGGAACUGCAAAUAGGAGUGGCAGCGGCAACCAUGAUGCAAGUGCAAGUGGUUCCCAAAGAUCUUGGAAAACUAUUUGUGAGAUGAGGAUGAUCACAAUUCAGAGUAUUUGGGGACAAGGAAGAUGAUCCAUCAAUGCAAGAUCAGCAAGAGGCACAAAUGCAAGUGGAAAAAGAGACGCAAAUUCAAGUGGAAAUGGACGCAGCACCAAACGAUGGCAAUUUGGAGACCCGUAGAUCUGUACGGCUUGUCAAGAAGAAGACCAAGGACGUCAACAGCCUAUACUUGUUGCUUAGAAAUCUGCGGAAAUGCCACAUGAAGAACUAAGGAUAUCAAGAAGCUUUUGGAUGUAUGCAAGCUUGGAGCUGCUGUUUUAUAGAAAUGGCAUGUGUAGAAAUAGAAUAACCAAGGAUAUAAAGAAGCUUUUGGAUAUAGGCAAGCUUGGAGCUGCUGUUUCAAUGUCAUGCUUUAAUGGUUGUCUUUUGGAGCUGUUGUUUCUAUCAGUAAUCCUUUUAAGUCUGUUGGCUGUACCGGACUAUUUAAAGUCUGAACUACGCUGUGAUGGUUGAACUGAUGCUGGACUGUUAAGGGUUAUGUUGGAGGCAACUUUAUAACUAAUGUGUGCCUGUUAUGUUGGACAGAUGCAGUUUUAAUAAUCCCUAGAGCUUAUUUGCUGAAGUUUAUAUGAUCAAUCCUGAUGGUUGUUGCGCUGCUAUGUUUAGGCUUUGUUUUAUUUCAAAUUUUGUUUGAAUUUCGGCCGAAUUUCGGCCAAAUUUCGGUUGAAUUUUGGUCAAAAUUUCAAAUUUUGAUUUUGCAAUUUCGCCCGAGAUUUUGCUGAAAAAUUUAAAAUUCCCGAAAUUCGUCCAUUUCGGCCAAGGACGAAAAAAAACACAAACCGAAAUUCAAAACACAGGUUGGGAGGGAGCCUGGACGGGUAGUGCGCCAGGAAGAAAGCCAUACCGUCACCCAUACCGGCGCUGCCGUUCAAGUCACAUAUAUGAAGCUGAU
This 1300-nucleotide ribosomal RNA is filed under the name Triticum aestivum (bread wheat). RNAcentral describes it as "partial small subunit ribosomal RNA". Lineage: Eukaryota; Viridiplantae; Streptophyta; Magnoliopsida; Poales; Poaceae. The record is from RNAcentral.